Molecule: long non-coding RNA, 2564 nt
Organism: Piliocolobus tephrosceles (Ugandan red Colobus)
Lineage: Eukaryota; Metazoa; Chordata; Mammalia; Primates; Cercopithecidae
Exons: 4
Source: RefSeq, a predicted model, not a curated record
GCUUCGCUGUGGCAGCUGCUGGAGCGGCGGCUGCCUCGGGAGCUGGAGGAGAGGCAGCAGCGGAGCGUCGAGCUGGCCGCGCCCCGAGGCCCGGCCCUGGGUGUGGGGAACCGCGCCGAGGAGCUGGAAACUUUCCCGGCAGGAGCUGACUACUGGGCAGGAACGUCUCUCAGGAGAAAGAGUGGAAGAGAAAAUUGUGAACUAAGGCCCCCUGCCCCCUUUUCCUGUUGCAUGUGAAGUUAUCAAAAAUAGAAACAAGUGUUGAAAAUGUUAAAGGCAGUGCUGAAGAAGAGCCGAGAGGGAGGAAAAGGAGGCAAGAAGGAAGCAGACUAGAUGUUUUCCUAGGGCUUUGGAUUAUCCAUAUCCCAUGUGAGUGGGCAUCUGCAAGUGUGCCCACACCCUGCCACUGACAGCAGAGAUCACCACAACCUGGAGGAUAAACAGAAGGGUGGGAAGAAAAGAAAUGCCAGCCGACCCAGAGCCCAUCAGUGACAGGAGUGUGGCAGGCUCAGCACUGCUGGUAUCCAGCCUUCGGAGCAGGGCACUGGCACUCUUCUUCCUGCCAUGCCCAUGUCCACUGUAGUCAGCUGCAAACAAGCUUGCCUCCGAGCAAUGCCUACACACAUGUCACUUCGAGCACAUGCUUUGUGGAAUAGAGUUUCAUUUCACCCUACUUGCCAAGUUAGGCCUUAGUAGGUGGCCCAUUUAUCCUAAAGAUCUUAAAAUCGACACAUGGCUCAAUCCUUGGGAAUGUACAUUUAAAUAUUUACAGGAAAUGUGCACAGAGGAAAAAAUAUAAACCAUCUAAACAUGUGUAUCUUACACCCAUGCUUCAGUUGAUCAGUUCCCAUUCGAGCUAUGUUUGAACAUGGUAGCCACUGCUACUGGUUGGAUGUGUGUCCUCCUUGAGACCCUCCAUGCAUGUACAAAUGUCCAUGUUUGUAUAGAUGUAAAUGUAUUGUGUGUGCAUACACACAUGCAUAGAUACACAUAUAUAUACACAUAUACCCUCAAGUAAUGUACAUUUGGAAUGGAAACUUUUAUUUUAAUAAUCUGCAUUAUUUAGUACAGUAGGCCCUGUAGUUUCUUUUCCCUUUCUUGCAACCUCUUUGUCUUGGGAAGUAGCAUAAGCAUUCUAGAUCUUUUUGACCACCUUCUUACUUCUGUGGCUCUCGGUCCUGGCUGCACAGUAAAAUCACUUGGUGAGCUUUAAGGACCAUCGCCUGUGCCAUUUUCCCAACCAGUUAAAACAGCCUCGCUCAGCAGGGAUCGGCGGUCUCUCUAUGUGGAGGGCGUUGGGAACUGCUGCUCUAAUCAGGUGUAGCAUCAGUCGACCUGGCAGAGCCACGGAAUUCAAGCUGCAGUGUGUUCUCCAGGACUGGUGGACCUGGACAAGUCUGUGCUGGCAAGGAAAUGUAGAAUCGCAAAUUCCAUGCAGAUUGAAAAUGAACCCUGCCAGGUUGCCUUCCACCGCAGCUAGCUUGCGACUUCACCCGUCAUCGGACCAGGCAGAAUGACCGGACCCGGUGCCGCUGUGCCACAGAAGCAGCAGGCCCAAAUGCUGCAAGAGUUAAUAAAUGUCCAGUACCCAUGGAGAGGAGAGGAAACUAGGGUGCUUGAUGACUAAACACCUAUCCUGCAUCCACUUCGCUUGUAUGGUGACAGCAUGAGGUGUGACUGAGAGAAGAUUAAUGAUCACUGGGCCUGGGUACCUCCCAAAAGGAGUGCUGCAGGAGUGCUGUGGAGCUAAUUAACCAGCCGGCAUGAAAAGUGAAAAUAGACAAGGGAACAGGGUGCUUUGUUUUGUCUUUUUUUUCCCUCUGUGGUGGCCCAGUACUGUGUGUAGACCUACAUAUACUAUUUUUGGUUUUCCUUCUUAAGUAUGCAAAAUGACGUAAUGUUGAAAGCCUCUCUCAGUAGCCUUCUCCGGGGGAUCAAUACUGAGACAGUGGACUCUGGAUCCCACUGCCUGGGUUCAGACUCAGCUCUGACAUAUGCCAGAGUGGCCUUGGGCAAGAUACUUGAUCCUUUCUGUGCCUCAGUUUCCUCAUCUGAGAAGGGGGCUAAUAGCAAUGCCUAAUUUGUGGGGUGGCUGUGAAGAUUAAGUGAAAUAAUACAUAUAAAGCACCCAGAACUCUGUCCUGGCAUCUAAUACAUCUAAAGAAAAUAAGCAUUUAUUUUAAAUUGCACCCUUCUGGGAGUUUGGGGGUGGGAGUUUUUCUGAGGUCAUUUAUUUUUAAAACACAGAAACUCUUGCAUGCUGAUAUAUCUUAAAAGGAAAACUUUGACAAUUAGAGAGGAAAUGCCAGUCUGUUUACUCAUCUGUUUCAGGAUAAAGCACAUUUGUACAUUUGGUUCUAUAAUCAUUGAGUAUUAAGAAUAAAACCAUGCGGACAGUAUUUACUGAUCUCUAUUUGGAUCCCACUUGGUGGAUUUUUGAAGACAAGUAUACGCUCUCCUAUUGGCUAGGUUUCUUGUACCCUAGGGGUUAGCUGCUUUCUUGCCUCUUAGUGGUAUUGUUUGAGAAUUAAUCAUGAUUGUCUGAAUAAGGUUUUUGAAAAUUG